RNAcentral lists this ribosomal RNA (450 nucleotides) under uncultured bacterium. Its description in RNAcentral is "partial 16S ribosomal RNA". It matches the Rfam family "Bacterial small subunit ribosomal RNA", at positions 354 to 796 of the family's 1533-position model. The record is from RNAcentral.
GUAGGGAAUAUUGGGCAAUGGAUGCAAGUCUGACCCAGCCAUCCCGCGUGCCGGAAGAAGGCCUUCGGGUUGUAAACUGCUUUUGUAUGGAACGAAACGGUCCUGGUUAAUACCUGGGGCUAAUGACGGUACCGUAAGAAUAAGCACCGGCUAACUACGUGCCAGCAGCCGCGGUAAUACGUAGGGUGCGAGCGUUAAUCGGAAUUACUGGGCGUAAAGCGUGCGCAGGCGGUGCUGUAAGACAGGCGUGAAAUCCCCGGGCUCAACCUGGGAAUUGCGCUUGUGACUGCAAGGCUGGAGUGCGGCAGAGGGGGAUGGAAUUCCGCGUGUAGCAGUGAAAUGCGUAGAUAUGCGGAGGAACACCGAUGGCGAAGGCAAUCCCCUGGGCCUGCACUGACGCUCAUGCACGAAAGCGUGGGGAGCAAACAGGAUUAGAUACCCGGGUAGUCC